UACCAGCACCCGAGUGGUCGGGACGUUUAUUGGGCCUAAAGCAUCCGUAGCCGGUUUACAAGUCUUCCUGUUAAAUCCACCUGCUUAACAGAUGGGCUGCGGAAGAUACUAUGGAGCUAGGAGGCGGGAGAGGCAAGCGGUACUCGAUGGGUAGGGGUAAAAUCCGUUGAUCCAUUGAAGACCACCAGUGGCGAAGGCGGCUUGCCAGAACGCGCUCGACGGUGAGGGAUGAAAGCUGGGGAGCAACCGG
Molecule: ribosomal RNA, 250 nt
Filed under: uncultured bacterium
Lineage: Bacteria
Description: partial 16S ribosomal RNA
Rfam family: Archaeal small subunit ribosomal RNA
Source: RNAcentral